GAACGAACGCUGGCGGCAUGCCUAACACAUGCAAGUCGAACGAAGGCUUCGGCCUUAGUGGCGCACGGGUGCGUAACGCGUGGGAAUCUGCCCUUUGGUUCGGAAUAACAGCUGGAAACGGCUGCUAAUACCGGAUGAUGACGAAAGUCCAAAGAUUUAUCGCCAGAGGAUGAGCCCGCGUUGGAUUAGGUAGUUGGUGGGGUAAAGGCCUACCAAGCCGACGAUCCAUAGCUGGUCUGAGAGGAUGAUCAGCCACACUGGGACUGAGACACGGCCCAGACUCCUACGGGAGGCAGCAGUGGGGAAUAUUGGACAAUGGGCGCAAGCCUGAUCCAGCAAUGCCGCGUGAGUGAUGAAGGCCCUAGGGUUGUAAAGCUCUUUUACCCGGGAAGAUAAUGACUGUACCGGGAGAAUAAGCCCCGGCUAACUCCGUG
This 434-nucleotide ribosomal RNA is filed under the name uncultured bacterium. Its description in RNAcentral is "partial 16S ribosomal RNA". It matches the Rfam family "Bacterial small subunit ribosomal RNA", at positions 27 to 507 of the family's 1533-position model. The record is from RNAcentral.